This 253-nucleotide ribosomal RNA is filed under the name uncultured prokaryote. RNAcentral's name for it is "partial 16S ribosomal RNA". It matches the Rfam family "Bacterial small subunit ribosomal RNA", at positions 524 to 776 of the family's 1533-position model. The record is from RNAcentral.
AACGUAGGUGGCAAGCGUUAUCCGGAUUUACUGGGCGUAAAGGGUGUGCAGGCGGGGCAGCAAGUGGUGUAUGAAAUCUCCAGGCUUAACCUGGAGGGGUUAUGCCAGACUGCUUUUCUAGAGGACGAGAGAGGGGGGUGGAAUUCCGGGUGUAGUGGUGAAAUGCGUAGAUAUCGGAAGGAACACCAGUGGCGAAGGCGGCUAUCUGGACUGAUACUGACACUGAGGUGCGAAAGCAUGGGGAGCAAACAGG